AAAGGGCCGCGGUAUACUGACCGUGCGAAGGUAGCAUAAUCAUUAGUCUUUUAAUUGAAGGCUUGUAUGAAUGGUUGGACAAAAAGUAAGCUGUCUCAAUUAUAAUAAUUGAAUUUAACUUUUAAGUGAGAAGGCUUAAAUAGAUUAAGGGGACGAUAAGACCCUAUAAAGCUUGACAAUAAAUCGUUUAUAUUAUAAACUGUUAGUGUAACUUGAUUUUAAACGGUGUUUGUUGCGUUGGGGCGACGGGAAUAUAAAAGGUAACUGUUCUUAUAAUAUUUAAUAACAGAAAUAUCUGAAAAAUUAAUGAUCCUUUUUUAAAGAUCAUAAGAUUAAGUUACUUUAGGGAUAACAGCGUAAUCUUCUUUAAGAGUCCAUAUCGACAGGAAGGGUUGCGACCUCGAUGUUGAAUUAAGGUAUCCUUAUAAUGCAGCAGUUAUAAAGGAAGGUCUGUU
RNAcentral lists this ribosomal RNA (455 nucleotides) under Penaeus brasiliensis (pinkspotted shrimp). RNAcentral describes it as "partial 16S ribosomal RNA". It matches the Rfam family "Bacterial large subunit ribosomal RNA", at positions 1925 to 2581 of the family's 2925-position model. Lineage: Eukaryota; Metazoa; Arthropoda; Malacostraca; Decapoda; Penaeidae. The record is from RNAcentral.